RNAcentral lists this ribosomal RNA (375 nucleotides) under uncultured organism. RNAcentral describes it as "partial 16S ribosomal RNA". It matches the Rfam family "Bacterial small subunit ribosomal RNA", at positions 527 to 897 of the family's 1533-position model. The record is from RNAcentral.
GUAGGUGGCAAGCGUUGUCCGGAAUUAUUGGGGCGUAAAGCGCGCGCAGGCGGUCCUUUAAGGUCUGAUGUGAAAGCCCACGGGCUCAACCGUGGAGGGUCAUUGGAAACUGGGGACUUGAGUACAGAAGAGGAAAGCGGAAUUCCACGUGUAGCGGUGAAAUGCGUAGAGAUGUGGAGGAACACCAGUGGCGAAGGCGGCUUUCUGGUCUGUAACUGACGCUGAGGCGCGAAAGCGUGGGGAGCAAACAGGAUUAGAUACCCUGGUAGUCCACGCCGUAAACGAUGAGUGCUAAGUGUUAGGGGGUUUCCGCCCCUUAGUGCUGCAGCUAACGCAUUAAGCACUCCGCCUGGGGAGUACGGCCGCAAAGGCUGA